UUAAGCUACUAAGAGCGUAGGGUGAAUGCCUUGGCAUCAAGAGCCGAUGAAGGACGUGAUAAGCUGCGAAAAGCCACGCGUAGAUGCAAAUAAUCGAUAAAACGUGGAUGUCCGAAUGAGGAAACUCAAUUAGAAGAAGAAGUCUAAUUAUUUAUACAUAAGUAAAGUAGUGUAUAAAGGGGAACGUUGGGAACUGAAACAUCUUAGUACCAACAGGAAAAGAAAGAAAACUCGAUUUCCAGAGUAGUGGCGAGCGAAAUGGAAAGAGCCCAAACCAUAAGAAGUAAUUCUUAUGGGGUAAAGGACUGCAUAAUUGAUUUAAUGAGGAUACAAGAAUUAUCUGGGAAGGUAGACCAAAGAAGGUGAAAGUCCUGUAAGGGAAAUCCAAAUUAACAUGGCAGUAUCCAGAGUAGUGCGAGACACGAGAAAUCUCGUAUGAAUAACGGGGGACCACCCCCGAAGGCUAAAUACUACUUGAUGACCGAUAGUGAAGAAGUACCGUGAGGGAAAGUUGAAAAGAACCCCGGGAGGGGAGUGAAAUAGAACCUGAAACCCUAUGUUUACAAGCAGACAAAGCACGUUAAGGUGCGAUGUCGUACUUUUUGUAGAACGGUCCGGCGAGUUAUUUUAUAUGGCAAGGUUAAGUACUGAAGGUACGAAGCCGAAGGGAAACCGAGUGUUAAUAGCGCGUAAAAGUCAUAUGAAAUAGACCCGAAACCGAGUGACCUAACCAUGUCCAGGAUGAAGCUUGAGUAAAAUCAAGUGGAGGUCCGAACUCAUAGACGUUAAAAAGUCUCGGGAUGAGGUGUGGUUAGCGGAGAAAUUCCAAUCGAACUCGGAGAUAGCUGGUUCUCCUCGAAAUAGUUUUAGGACUAGCCUUGAGAGAAUAAUGCGCGGGGGUAGAGCACUGAAUGAGCUAGGGGUCAAACCUGAUUACCGAACUCUAUCAAACUCCGAAUACCGUGUAGAGGAAACUCAGGAGUCAGACUGCGGGAGCUAAGUUCCGUGGUCAAAAGGGAAAGAGCCCAGAUCGUCAAAUAAGGUCCCAAAGAUAUAGUUAAGUGGAAAACGAUGUGAUUUUGCGUAAACAACCAGGAUGUUGGCUCAGAAGCAGCCACCCAUUUAAAGAGUGCGUAAUAGCUCACUGGUCGAGUGAAGUUGCGCGGAAAAUUACCGGGGCUAAACUAUACACCGAAUUUGCGGAUUUGUUACUUGAAAGAUAGUAAUAAGUGGUAGAGGAGCAUUCUAAGAGGACGAAGCAUAACUGAAAGGAUAUGUGGACGAAAUAGAAGAGAGAAUGCCGGAAUAAGUAGCGAAAGCAUAGUGAGAAUCUAUGCCAUCGAAAGUCUAAGGUUUCCUGGGGAAGGUUCGUCCGCCCAGGGUAAGUCGGGACCUAAGGAGAGGCCGAAAAGCGUAUCCGAUGGACAGCAGGUAGAGAUUCCUGCACUACGAUAUAUUUAGAAACUAUAACUGACACAGGAAUGGAAGAUAAGCGAGGAAGAGGAAAAACUCGUAUCGAAAGAUAUAGUGAAAAUAAGUAACGAAUUAUCAAGAAAUACACUGGCGAGAAAAGGUUGUAGAAAUUGUAUAUAGUACCCGUACCGCAAACCGACACAGGUAGAUGAGGAGAAGAUCCUAAGAUGAGCGAGAGAAGCAUUGUUAAGGAACUCGGCAAACUGACCCCGUAACUUAGGGAGAAGGGGUGCCAAGGUAAAACUUGGUCGCAGAGAAUAGUCCCAAGCAACUGUUUAACAAAAACAUAGGUUUCUGCUAAAUCGAAAGAUGAAGUAUAGGAGCUGACACCUGCCCAGUGCUGGAAGGUUAAGAGGAGAUGUUAGAGUAAUCGAAGCAUUGAAUUCAAGCCCCAGUGAACGGCGGCCGUAACUAUAACGGUCCUAAGGUAGCGAAAUUCCUUGUCAGGUAAGUUCUGACCCGCACGAAAGGUGUAAUGAUUUGGGAGCUGUCUCGACAAUGUACUCGGCGAAAUUGUAGUACUAGUGAAGAUGCUAGUUACCUGCGACAAGACAGAAAGACCCCAUGGAGCUUUACUGCAACUUGAUACUGGGUCUAGGUAAUUUAUGUACAGGAUAGGUGGGAGACUAUGAAACUUUGGCGCUAGCUGAAGUGGAGUCAUCCUUGGGAUACCACCCUUAAGUUACUUGGAUUCUAACCUGCCGUCAUAAACUGGCGGGGGGACAAUGUCAGGUGGGCAGUUUGACUGGGGCGGUCGCCUCCUAAAGAGUAACGGAGGCGCGCAAAGGUUUCCUCAGCGCGGACAGAAAUCGCGCGAAAGAGUGCAAAGGCAGAAGGAAGCUUAACUGAGAGACUGACAAGUCGACCAGAUACGAAAGUAGGUCUUAGUGAUCCGGUGGUUGUAAGUGGAAAUGCCAUCGCUCAACGGACAAAAGUUACCCUGGGGAUAACAGGCUUAUCUCCCCCAAGAGUUCACAUCGACGGGGAGGUUUGGCACCUCGAUGUCGGCUCAUCACAUCCUGGAGCGGAAGUACGUUCCAAGGGUUGGGCUGUUCGCCCAUUAAAGUGGUACGCGAGCUGGGUUCAGAACGUCGUGAGACAGUUCGGUCCUUAUCUGUCGCAGGCGGAGGAUAUUUGAAGGGAGUUGGCCCUAGUACGAGAGGACCAGGCUGAACGAACCGAUGGUACACCAGUUGUCUCACCAGAGGCACAGCUGGGAAGCUAAGUUCGGAAGGGAUAAACGCUGAAAGCAUCUAAGUGUGAAGCCCACCCUAAGAUAAGAUAUGCCAUACCGUAAGGUAGUAAGAUUCCAGAAAGACUAACUGGUAGAUAGGUUGGAAGUGUAAGUGGUGAGAGCCAUUAAGCUAACCAAUACUAAUAAAUCGAGGGCUUAACCAC
This 2871-nucleotide ribosomal RNA is filed under the name human gut metagenome. RNAcentral describes it as "bacterial LSU rRNA". It matches the Rfam family "Bacterial large subunit ribosomal RNA". The record is from RNAcentral.